Molecule: ribosomal RNA, 292 nt
Filed under: uncultured bacterium
Lineage: Bacteria
Also listed under: 2 other names
Description: partial 16S ribosomal RNA
Source: RNAcentral
GGACUACCGGGGUUUCUAAUCCCGUUUGCUCCCCUGGCUUUCGCGCCUCAGCGUCAGAAGAGGUCCAGCGGAUCGCUUUCGCCACCGGCGUUCCUUCCGAUAUCAACGCAUUUCACCGCUCCACCGGAAGUUCCAUCCGCCCCUACCUCCCUCGAGGUCUCCAGUAUCCGAGGCACUUUUCCGGUUGGGCCGAAAGAUUUCACCCCGGACUUGGAGACCCGCCUACGCGCCCUUUAAGCCCAGUGAUUCCGAACAACGUUCGCACGGUUCGUCUUACCGCGGCGGCUGGCAC